This 907-nucleotide ribosomal RNA is filed under the name uncultured bacterium. Its description in RNAcentral is "bacterial SSU rRNA". It matches the Rfam family "Bacterial small subunit ribosomal RNA", at positions 54 to 991 of the family's 1533-position model. The record is from RNAcentral.
CAUGCAAGUCUACUUGAACUUCGGUUUGGGUGGCGGACGGGUGAGUAACGCGUAAAGAACUUGCCUCACAGUUUGGGACAACAUUUGGAAACGAAUGCUAAUACCGAAUAUUAUGAUCGAAUGGCAUCAUUUGAUUAUGGAAGCUAUAUGCGCUGUGAGAGAGCUUUGCGUCCCAUUAGCUAGUUGGAGAGGUAACGGCUCACCAAGGCGAUGAUGGGUAGCCGGCCUGAGAGGGUGAACGGCCACAAGGGGACUGAGACACGGCCCUUACUCCUACGGGAGGCAGCAGUGGGGAAUAUUGGACAAUGGACCAAAAGUCGGAUCCAGCAAUUCUGUGUGCACGAUGAAGUUUUUCGGAAUGUAAAGUGCUUUCAGUUGGGAAGAAGAAAGUGACGGUACCAACAGAAGAAGUGACGGCUAAAUACGUGCCAGCAGCCGCGGUAAUACGUAUGUCACAAGCGUUAUCCGGAUUUAUUGGGCGUAAAGCGCGUCUAGGCGGUUAAUUAAGUCUGAUGUGAAAAUGCGGAGCUCAACUCCGUAUUGCGUUGGAAACUGGUUAACUAGAGUACUGGAGAGGUAAGCGGAACUACAAGUGUAGAGGUGAAAUUCGUAGAUAUUUGUAGGAAUGCCGAUGGGAAGCCAGCUUACUGGACAGAUACUGACGCUAAAGCGCGAAAGCGUGGGUAGCAAACAGGAUUAGAUACCCUGGUAGUCCACGCUGUAAACGAUGAUUACUAGGUGUUGGGGGUCGAACCUCAACGCCCAAGCUAACGCGAUAAGUAAUCCGCCUGGGGAGUACGUACGCAAGUAUGAAACUCAAAGGAAUUGACGGGGACCCGCACAAGCGGUGGAGCAUGUGGUUUAAUUCGACGCAACGCGAGGAACCUUACCAGCGUUUGACAUCUUA